AUUGAACGCUGGCGGCAUGCCUUACACAUGCAAGUCGAACGGCAGCACGGGGCAACCUGGUGGCGAGUGGCGAACGGGUGAGUAAUGCAUCGGAACGUGCCAUUGAGUGGGGGAUAACGUAGCGAAAGUUGCGCUAAUACCGCAUAUUCUGUGAGCAGGAAAGCAGGGGACCGCAAGGCCUUGCGCUCUUUGAGCGGCCGAUGUCAGAUUAGCUAGUUGGUGAGGUAACGGCUUACCAAGGCGACGAUCUGUAGCGGGUCUGAGAGGAUGAUCCGCCACACUGGAACUGAGACACGGUCCAGACUCCUACGGGAGGCAGCAGUGGGGAAUUUUGGACAAUGGGCGCAAGCCUGAUCCAGCCAUGCCGCGUGAGUGAAGAAGGCCUUCGGUUGUAAG
RNAcentral lists this ribosomal RNA (396 nucleotides) under uncultured bacterium. RNAcentral describes it as "bacterial SSU rRNA". It matches the Rfam family "Bacterial small subunit ribosomal RNA", at positions 30 to 429 of the family's 1533-position model. The record is from RNAcentral.